This 244-nucleotide long non-coding RNA is filed under the name Vigna radiata. RNAcentral's name for it is "long non-coding RNA (VRAD_LNC009682)". The record is from RNAcentral. Lineage: Eukaryota; Viridiplantae; Streptophyta; Magnoliopsida; Fabales; Fabaceae.
GCAGGUGAGGGUUUGGAUGUGCAUGAUGUUCUCCCUUCACACACACACUUUCGGCAUAUAUUGAGUGGGGCCCUAUACCCGGGUCUGAGCGUAACUUAGAAUUAGAGGAGUUGUGUAGCGGUGUCACUCUGGGAUGUACUUCCUGUUUGGCUAUCGUGAGAACUCCAGCUAGAGUCUAUUCUCUUCAUGUGUGUUUCCACACCUAGUUGAUUACUCGACUGUUGUGGAGAUGCUUUGAAGGGGN